RNAcentral lists this ribosomal RNA (255 nucleotides) under uncultured bacterium. Its description in RNAcentral is "partial 16S ribosomal RNA". It matches the Rfam family "Archaeal small subunit ribosomal RNA", at positions 474 to 728 of the family's 1478-position model. The record is from RNAcentral.
UACCAGCACCCCGAGUGGUCGGGACGUUUUAUUGGGCCUAAAGCAUCCGUAGCCGGUUCUACGAGUCUUCCGUUAAAUCCAACUGCUUAACAGGUGGGCUGCGGAAGAUACUAUAGAGCUAGGAGGCGGGAGAGGCAAGCGGUACUCGAUGGGUAGGGGUAAAAUCCGUUGAUCCAUUGAAGACCACCAGUGGCGAAGGCGGCUUGCCAGAACGCGCUCGACGGUGAGGGAUGAAAGCUGGGGGAGCAAACCGGG